AGUCGUAACAAGGUUUCCGUAGGUGAACCUGCGGAAGGAUCAUUACCGAGUGAGGGUCCCUCGGGGCCCAACCUCCCAUCCGUGUUGUCCUGACACCUGUUGCUUCGGCGGGCCCGCCGUGGUUCACGCCCCGGCCGCCGGGGGGUUCACGCCCCCGGGCCCGCGCCCGCCGAAGACCCCUGGAACGCUGCCUGGAAGGUUGCCGUCUGAGUAUACAAUCAAUCAAUUAAAACUUUCAACAACGGAUCUCUUGGUUCCGGCAUCGAUGAAGAACGCAGCGAAAUGCGAUAAGUAAUGUGAAUUGCAGAAUUCCGUGAAUCAUCGAAUCUUUGAACGCACAUUGCGCCCCCUGGCAUUCCGGGGGGCAUGCCUGUCCGAGCGUCAUUGCUAACCCUCCAGCCCGGCUGGUGUGUUGGGCCGCCGUCCCCCCUCCCCGGGGGACGGGCCCGAAAGGCAGCGGCGGCGUCGCGUCCGGUCCUCGAGCGUAUGGGGCUCUGUCACACGCUUCAGUAGAACCGGCCGGCUUGCUGGCCAUCACCUAUAUUUUUCUCUUAGGUUGACCUCGGAUCAGGUAGGGAUACCCGCUGAACCUAAGCAUAUCAAUAAAGCGGAGG
This 614-nucleotide unclassified non-coding RNA is filed under the name Paecilomyces variotii. RNAcentral describes it as "sequence contains 18S rRNA gene, ITS1, 5.8S rRNA gene, ITS2, 28S rRNA gene". The stretch from base 231 to 384 matches the Rfam family "5.8S ribosomal RNA". Lineage: Eukaryota; Fungi; Ascomycota; Eurotiomycetes; Eurotiales; Thermoascaceae. The record is from RNAcentral.